GCAGUCGCCGCGGGAAUACGUAGGUGGCAAGCGUUGUCCGGAAUUAUUGGGCGUAAAGGGCUCGCAGGCGGUUUCUUAAGUCUGAUGUGAAAGCCCCCGGCUCAACCGGGGAGGGUCAUUGGAAACUGGGAAACUUGAGUGCAGAAGAGGAGAGUGGAAUUCCACGUGUAGCGGUGAAAUGCGUAGAGAUGUGGAGGAACACCAGUGGCGAAGGCGACUCUCUGGUCUGUAACUGACGCUGAGGAGCGAAAGCGUGGGGAGCGAACAGGAUUAGAUACCCCGGUAGUCCCUGUCUCUUAUAA
This 302-nucleotide ribosomal RNA is filed under the name uncultured bacterium. RNAcentral's name for it is "partial 16S ribosomal RNA". It matches the Rfam family "Bacterial small subunit ribosomal RNA", at positions 508 to 809 of the family's 1533-position model. The record is from RNAcentral.